RNAcentral lists this ribosomal RNA (429 nucleotides) under Pseudomonadota bacterium. Its description in RNAcentral is "Proteobacteria bacterium partial 16S ribosomal RNA". It matches the Rfam family "Bacterial small subunit ribosomal RNA", at positions 355 to 776 of the family's 1533-position model. Lineage: Bacteria; Pseudomonadati; Pseudomonadota. The record is from RNAcentral.
UGGGGAAUAUUGGACAAUGGGCGAAAGCCUGAUCCAGCCAUGCCGCGUGUGUGAAGAAGGUCUUCGGAUUGUAAAGCACUUUAAGUUGGGAGGAAGGGCAGUAAGCGAAUACCUUGCUGUUUUGACGUUACCGACAAAAUAAGCACCGGCUAACUCUGUGCCAGCAGCCGCGGUAAUACAGAGGGUGCAAGCGUUAAUCGGAAUUACUGGGCGUAAAGCGCGCGUAGGUGGUUCGUUAAGUUGAAUGUGAAAGCCCCGGGCUCAACCUGGGAACUGCAUCCAAAACUGGCGAGCUAGAGUAGGGCAGAGGGUGGUGGAAUUUCCUGUGUAGCGGUGAAAUGCGUAGAUAUAGGAAGGAACACCAGUGGCGAAGGCGACCACCUGGGCUCAUACUGACACUGAGGUGCGAAAGCGUGGGGAGCAAACAGG